Molecule: ribosomal RNA, 424 nt
Filed under: uncultured bacterium
Lineage: Bacteria
Description: bacterial SSU rRNA
Rfam family: Bacterial small subunit ribosomal RNA
Source: RNAcentral
UGAGGAAUAUUGGUCAAUGGGCGCAAGCCUGAACCAGCCAUCCCGCGUGCAGGAAGACGGCGCUAUGCGUUGUAAACUGCUUUUCCAGGGGGAGAAACUUGCGCACGUGUUGCGCAAUUGACGGUACCCUGGGAAUAAGCAUCGGCUAACUCCGUGCCAGCAGCCGCGGUAAUACGGAGGAUGCGAGCGUUAUCCGGAUUCAUUGGGUUUAAAGGGUGCGUAGGCGGACUAUUAAGUCAGUGGUGAAAUCCUGCAGCUUAACUGCAGAACUGCCAUUGAUGCUGAUAGCCUUGAGUUUGGUUAAGGUAGGCGGAAUGUGUAAUGUAGCGGUGAAAAGCUUAGAUAUUACACAGAACACCAAUUGCGUAGGCAGCUUACUGAACCGACACUGACGCUGAGGCACGAAAGCGUGGGGAUCGAACAG